Long non-coding RNA from Dendrobium catenatum, 1542 nucleotides. RefSeq lists it as uncharacterized. The record is from RefSeq and is a predicted model, not a curated record. NCBI's taxonomy places the organism in Eukaryota, Viridiplantae, Streptophyta, Magnoliopsida, Asparagales, Orchidaceae. The transcript is spliced from 2 exons.
GGUCUAUGGUGAAUUCGGAUUUCAUUAAGAUUUCUGCUAGCUUGUAGAUACUGUUUGUGAAUAACUUGGGGGAUAGUUUGACUUCUUACAAAACUACCAGGGUCAUGAAGAAGAAACUUUAUUGAGGGUGUUGAAAAGUUUCUAUGGAAAUGGAGUAUUUCCUUUUUCACUGAGCUUUCUAACCUUUAGUUCAAACAUCCUUUGAUUUGAGUCUGGUUUCUGUCAUUCUAAUGAUGAAUUUCUGGUAUAUUUAUCACACAUGAUUGCUGUACAAGCGUAGUCUCAGUAGGUUAAGUAGACUUCUUGCAUUGCAGUGUCUCAAUUCACUCUCUAGAUUAAUUUGAUAUCGAUUUCCCUUCAGGUUGUUUUCUCAACACUAUUCUUCUUCCUUUGUCCUCUUUUUUUUUUUGUUUAAACUCUUCUUUUACCAACCAAGAUGCUUUCCAAAAGCAUCCGGUGCCCCUAGGCCACUUUUUCUGGUUUUUGUAAAGGAAAAAGUUGGGAGGGGGAAAGAAUGGUCCUUUGCCACCGAUGCUUAGCUUGGUUGGGAACCUCUCAACCCGUGCUCGAUUCCUCUCGAGUGGCAGCGUCUCUUAAGUGGGGCUCAAUCAAGUGCGGGCCAGGAUGUUUCUGGGGUGGGUCUCUUUUACCUCAGCUGAGGAUUUGUCACGUUGCCAAUCGCCCUUUCUGGGGUGCUAGCGGGUGGAUACCCAUUCCACAAAAAAAAAGGUCCUUUAUCUUUUCUCUUUUACUGUGUCAGUAAAGGUUCUAUCAAUAGUAUAUGGUGUCAUUGUUCUUCAUUCCAUUCCUAUUCCAUAUUCCAUUUUCUGAGAAAUUAUUAGGAGCAGACUGUGUAGCUCUAUGUGCAGACUAUAAUAUGAGUACUCAAUAAUACACAACUUUAUACCCCAAUUAAAUUGAGUAUAUAGCGUGUGUAAAACUUUCUACUCUUCAAAUCUAUACGUAGAGCUAUGUAACUAGUCUGCAAGUACUAAUUUCUCCUUUUUCCAUUGUUCACUUUCAUCUCUUCACCUUAGUUCUUAGUUUCUUAGUAAGUUUGGUCAGUCUGUUGUUCUUGUGCAAGGCUCAAUUGAGCUCCAUGGGUUUCUUCUGAGAAUCUUAAAUAACAAGGUGUCGGCUGCUGCGGCCUGAGGCUUGUUGCUGUAGUACUGGAGUUGUUUCUUUAGUCACAGGCUGAUCCAGUUAUUGAGGGCCUCAUGGCUAGAGUUUCAACAGGUAUCAUUCAGAUUGCUUUCUGUCUGCUGUAUGGAAGUUUAUGAGUUUAUUUUUAGAACUGCUUUGCUGUUGGACAUUAUGCAUUUUAGCUUAGUUGUUGAGAUAUUAUGCAGUUUGAUUAGUUCAUUCUCUUAUGAUUUUAUCCUUGAAACGAUUGCAGUAUGCAGUUGUUUGUUUCUAAAUGUUAAAGAACUCAGUUCUUCCCACAUAUUUAUAUAUAUAGUUUGGUUAUGCUCUGUAUCCUUAAGGAAGCUGCUGGGUUGCAAGUAGGAUUUAAAUAAAUCCUAUAAAUCUUGGUUUAGUGAA